UACGAAGGGGGCUAGCGUUGUUCGGAAUUACUGGGCGUAAAGCGCACGUAGGCGGGCGAUUAAGUCAGGGGUGAAAUCCCGGAGCUCAACUCCGGAACUGCCUUUGAUACUGGUCGUCUAGAGAUCGGAAGAGGUGAGUGGAAUUCCCAGUGUAGAGGUGAAAUUCGUAGAUAUUGGGAAGAACACCGGUGGCGAAGGCGGCUCACUGGUCCGAUACUGACGCUGAGGUGCGAAAGCGUGGGGAG
This 245-nucleotide ribosomal RNA is filed under the name uncultured bacterium. RNAcentral describes it as "partial 16S ribosomal RNA". It matches the Rfam family "Bacterial small subunit ribosomal RNA", at positions 524 to 768 of the family's 1533-position model. The record is from RNAcentral.